CGGGAAUAGCUCAGUUGGUAGAGCACGACCUUGCCAAGGUCGGGGUCGCGAGUUCGAGUCUCGUUUCCCG
RNAcentral lists this transfer RNA (70 nucleotides) under Pseudomonas aeruginosa. RNAcentral's name for it is "tRNA-Gly". It matches the Rfam family "tRNA". From Rfam's summary of the family: Transfer RNA (tRNA) molecules are approximately 80 nucleotides in length. Their secondary structure includes four short double-helical elements and three loops (D, anti-codon, and T loops). Lineage: Bacteria; Pseudomonadati; Pseudomonadota; Gammaproteobacteria; Pseudomonadales; Pseudomonadaceae. The record is from RNAcentral. RNAcentral also lists the same sequence under 32 other names.